AGGGAAGGAAGAAGGAUUAUUUAUUAACGCUUCUGUGAAAAAAAGAGGAAGGUUUGCCUUUAACCCACUUGUGAACAUUUUUGAGAUGAUGCCAAGAAACCUUAAGAGGAACUGAUGCUUUAUUUAGUCACAUCUACAUUACAGCAAAGGGAAAUUCUGACAGAUUUGACUUCUGACACGGGUUGUUACGUAGUUCAGCUAACAAGGGGUUAUAAGGGGUUAUAAACCUACAGUAUAGUACAGAGAGUAGGUUUGAAGGAGAAGAACAAAAUGAGGCCUGGGUGAUCCUGGGGUGUAAAAGAGAGAGGGGCAGUUAUCCUGGGGUGUGAGAGGCAAUUUAAACUCCAUGAGAACUUUCAGCAGGACAUCAGGACGUGACACAGAUGAUUUCUGGUCCACUCUGGACUUGAGCAGAUAUUACGGAUCAGAGACAGACUUCAAAGGGAACAUUUUAAGUCAUGACUCGCUGGAGCAAUAACACAGAUCUGUGACAACAAGAUGACAAACAGCAGACAUUACAGCAGUAAUAAGGAACAGCGACCGGUGAGCGCAGGAGACGUCCUGAUUGAGACGAGGCACUUCAUCUGCGUCCAAAAAGAGUCCACAUGUGCAGGCUGAAACAUUAUCAAAGCUGUUUUGUUUUCCUUCUCUGUUCAUCAUCAUCUGCUGCUCAUCUGCUUCCUUUUUCUCUCUUUGGCCCCGUUCACACUGCAGGUAAAAGUGGCCCA
Molecule: long non-coding RNA, 728 nt
Organism: Tachysurus fulvidraco (yellow catfish)
Lineage: Eukaryota; Metazoa; Chordata; Actinopteri; Siluriformes; Bagridae
Exons: 3
Source: RefSeq, a predicted model, not a curated record